GACGAACGCUGGCGGCGUGCUUAACACAUGCAAGUCGAACGGAAAGGCCCUGCUUUUGUGGGGUGCUCGAGUGGCGAACGGGUGAGUAACACGUGAGUAACCUGCCCUUGACUUUGGGAUAACUUCAGGAAACUGGGGCUAAUACCGGAUAGGAGCUCCUGCUGCAUGGUGGGGGUUGGAAAGUUUCGGCGGUUGGGGAUGGACUCGGGGCUUAUCAGCUUGUUGGUGGGGUAGUGGCUUACCAAGGCUUUGACGGGUAGCCGGCCUGAGAGGGUGAACGGCCACAAUGGGACUGAGAUACGGCCCAGACGCCUACGGGAGGCAGCAGUGGGGAAUAUUGCACAAUGGGCGGAAGCCUGAUGCAGCAGCGCCGCGUGCGGGAUGACGGCCUUCGGGUUGUAAACCGCUUUCGCCUGUGACGAAGCGUGAGUGACGGUAAUGGGUAAAGAAGCACCGGCUAACUACGUG
RNAcentral lists this ribosomal RNA (468 nucleotides) under uncultured bacterium. RNAcentral describes it as "partial 16S ribosomal RNA". It matches the Rfam family "Bacterial small subunit ribosomal RNA", at positions 28 to 507 of the family's 1533-position model. The record is from RNAcentral.